RNAcentral lists this long non-coding RNA (621 nucleotides) under Cairina moschata (Muscovy duck). RNAcentral's name for it is "domestica (muscovy Duck (domestic type)) lncRNA (ENSCMMG00000002697.1)". The record is from RNAcentral. Lineage: Eukaryota; Metazoa; Chordata; Aves; Anseriformes; Anatidae.
AUGCCAGCCGCCAGCGGUAUCCCCCGGGACAGGGCACGGCCCACGGGCGGCCCCGCCACACGCGCGGGGGCUGCGACGCCGCCGCCGCCACCGGCCGCCCACCAGCACCAACGGCGGGCGCCGGGCGCCCCCCAGCGGCGGCAGCGCCGCACUGCGCCCACCCGCCCCGGCACGGCACGGGCGGCGCCGAGCGGCCCCGCGGGGAAGAAGGAGGCGGUGGCGGGGGGGGACGAGACCGGCCGCGACCCCCCCCACACCGCCCUCAGCGGGGUCCCGUCUCCCCGCUGUGCCCGUCGGUGUCUGUCAGCCGCCGGCGGGGAGAGGCGUCCCCCGGCGCCGCCGUCCUGCCCGCCCCUGCCCAUCUCUCGGCGUUACGGCACGUCUAAAGCGGGGCCGGCGGGGCCGUUUGCCGGUAAAACGGCUUUCGUCAGGGACAAAUUAAUAAAACCAAAAAGCCCUUCGCCCGUCGAGGAAACCGGGCACCGGGAAGCGGCGGGGCGGCGGAGGAGCCGGAGUAUUGGAGAAUUGGUGGAUACUGAAUUCUUGGCCCACAGCUUGAAUAUAGAAAUUGCAAGUCUGAGAAAACAAAUCUGGAGCUGAAAAUACUUCCCUGCAGUCCUG